GGUAGGGGAGCGUUCUGUAAGCCUGCGAAGGUGUGCUGUGAGGCAUGCUGGAGGUAUCAGAAGUGCGAAUGCUGACAUAAGUAACGAUAAAGCGGGUGAAAAGCCCGCUCGCCGGAAGACCAAGGGUUCCUGUCCAACGUUAAUCGGGGCAGGGUGAGUCGACCCCUAAGGCGAGGCCGAAAGGCGUAGUCGAUGGGAAACAGGUUAAUAUUCCUGUACUUGGUGUUACUGCGAAGGGGGGACGGAGAAGGCUAUGUUGGCCGGGCGACGGUUGUCCCGGUUUAAGCGUGUAGGCUGGUUUUCCAGGCAAAUCCGGAAAAUCAAGGCUGAGGCGUGAUGACGAGGCACUACGGUGCUGAAGCAACAAAUGCCCUGCUUCCAGGAAAAGCCUCUAAGCAUCAGGUAACAUCAAAUCGUACCCCAAACCGACACAGGUGGUCAGGUAGAGAAUACCAAGGCGCUUGAGAGAACUCGGGUGAAGGAACUAGGCAAAAUGGUGCCGUAACUUCGGGAGAAGGCACGCUGAUAUGUAGGUGAAGUCCCUCGCGGAUGGAGCUGAAAUCAGUCGAAGAUACCAGCUGGCUGCAACUGUUUAUUAAAAACACAGCACUGUGCAAACACGAAAGUGGACGUAUACGGUGUGACGCCUGCCCGGUGCCGGAAGGUUAAUUGAUGGGGU
RNAcentral lists this ribosomal RNA (679 nucleotides) under Escherichia coli. Its description in RNAcentral is "partial 23S ribosomal RNA". It matches the Rfam family "Bacterial large subunit ribosomal RNA", at positions 1227 to 1890 of the family's 2925-position model. Lineage: Bacteria; Pseudomonadati; Pseudomonadota; Gammaproteobacteria; Enterobacterales; Enterobacteriaceae. The record is from RNAcentral.